This is a long non-coding RNA of Diorhabda sublineata, 2160 nucleotides long. RefSeq lists it as uncharacterized. The transcript has 4 exons. NCBI's taxonomy places the organism in Eukaryota, Metazoa, Arthropoda, Insecta, Coleoptera, Chrysomelidae. The record is from RefSeq and is a predicted model, not a curated record.
CGUUUUUGUUUGGCAUAUUGUACUUAUUAGUAAUUAUUAUUUGUUUCAUUCUAUGUAAUCUUAGUGAGAGUGAAAGUUAUUUGUGCUUGAGAAAUCCAUAAAUACACCAGUUCAUUUUUUUACACAUGACUCAGAAAGUUUUUGUUUUAUAAAAGCGAGGAGGACGAGGUAUUUGUGAAAGAUGAUAUCGACACUAGUAUCCAAGAAAUAAUGUGUUCGCGAAUGAUCAAUAUUGAAUCAAAAUUUGAUUGCAAUUUCCAAGGAAACGACGUCUGUAAAAUCCAAGGAGUAUAAAAUGUAUGCGAUAAUGAGUUAACAUUCAUAGUUGAAAAAGAGGAACAUUUGAGCCAAUCGGACUGCAAAUGCAACCCAGGACGAAGAGAUUGGAAAAAAAAUAAUUUGAAAACUUGAGAAUUCUGAACAGUAAGGAAAAGAGGUGAAAAAUUAACCCAAACACUUUCAUUGAAUUUUCUCAAGAUUUAUCCUUUUCACAAAGUAAUGUACCUAUAUUAUAAGUAUUUGCUACAUUCUAAUAACUUGGUCCAUUAAUUGUAUUGACAAAAUUAAAUUUUAAGAAGAAUGAAGAGCAAAUUCCAGAAAAUGAAUGUGAUAAAUUUAUUACAAAUAUUCUAUCAAAAAAAGUUAUUAUUUCAACUACUGUAUUAUUAUCCAAAUAGUAAGUACUUUGAAAAUCAAAUUGACUUACUGGGCAAAAACAAAACAAGAUUUGUGGGGGGUCCUGAAUAAUGUAUCUUGGAAGAAUCAAGGUCGAAGCCAAAACAUCUGGAAGAAAAACAUGAUCUAAUAGUUUAACCACUGCCAAGACGGACAUGAACAAGAAAAGCUAAUGAAAGAACAAAAAAUUAAAUAUCCCACAGUUUAUACCCAAAUAUUCUUUUAGUAAAAAAAUGAUUUAUUCUGAUAAUAUUGUAUUAUUGUAUUAACUUUGGUGAGAUGAAGUAAAAAAUGUUAUAAAUAUAUUGAAGGGCGAAUGUUUCAUGUAUUACUAAUAAUUCCAACAAAUUAUACCAUACGUGGAAUACAACACAGAAAUGCUUACAAUAAGCUUUGAAACUAUUGUAAUAUUAAAUUAUAUCUAACUAGAUUAAGCCUAUCAAAUCGAGGUAUAUCUGGUAUUACUAAAUCAAUAUGGUUGUUAACUUCUUUUAUAAUUAUUCCUAUAGUUUUAUCCAUAGAUAUAUCAGGAUCAUAUCAAAAAUUUACACAUCAUUUCCUCCAAGAGAUAAUAUUUUGUGGAUGAGGUCAAUCUAUUGCACCUACACACCUAAGAAAACGUCUAAUACUGUAAAUUUCUGUUUGAACCUUUUGCAGCUGCUGUUCGUCUUGAAGAUUUUAAUCAUUUCAGUGCGAAGUUAAUUUUUAACAUGAAUCUUUACUUUUCUCGGUGUAAAAUAAACAACUUUUUUCUCUGUGUAAUAACCGGCAACUCUGUUACUUGUAGAUCAAAGGUUCCGACAAAAGCUGUCGCUUCUGUAUUAGUAUUCUGUGUCAUAGGUACAUAGUGCACAAUACUUAAGGCAUAUCAAAGAUAUAGUUGCCGGAGUUUUUUGUCUACAAAUUUCUCAGAUUCAAGAUGGAAAACUAGUUUCGUUUGCAUUCUUGAAGACAUUUUCUUUAAAAAUGUAGGUAUUAUUAUAAAUUGACGUUUUCAAUUGGAUUUGGAAAGAGGAGAAUUCUCUGAUAGGUAGAUAUUUUAUGUCUCUAAAAGACGUAUAAGAGAGAAAAUAGACUAAUUUAUAUGCAUAUAGAAAGGAAACAUUUUAUGGCUGUUACAUAAAACAAACUUACCCUUUGUAAAGGGUAAUUUGAGCCGUGAUAUGCAUGGAUUCCUUCAAGUAGUUACGAAGUUUAAAAACGUACCUAUCCCUUAACGUUUUAAGGCCUGAAAAGGUUAGGUAUCAGAUGGAAGGGUAAUGUGAAACACUGUUUCCUAAAUUAUGAAAAUGGAAUUGUACUAAUCUUAUCAUUAAGGAAAUAAUUUUUUAUACGAUAAUGUAUGGUCUUUAGAAUUUGACAAAAUAAUGAAAUAGUAGUACAUGAAGCAAUACUUAACAUAUUAAGUUAUAUUACUAGAACAUUAUCUUGCAGAGCCCGUAAUGUACCCAUAACAAUGGGUGCCUAAUAAAUUAUAUGGAACAA